UACGGGGGGGGCAAGCGUUGUUCGGAAUUACUGGGCGUAAAGGGCUCGUAGGCGGCCAACUAAGUCAGACGUGAAAUCCCUCGGCUUAACCGGGGAACUGCGUCUGAUACUGGUUGGCUUGAAUCCGGGAGAGGGAUGUGGAAUUCCAGGUGUAGCGGUGAAAUGCGCAGAUAUCAGGAGGAACACCCGUGGCGAAAGCGGCUCUCUGGGACGGUACUGACGCUGAGACGCGAAAGCGUGGGGAGCAAACAGG
This 253-nucleotide ribosomal RNA is filed under the name uncultured bacterium. RNAcentral describes it as "partial 16S ribosomal RNA". It matches the Rfam family "Bacterial small subunit ribosomal RNA", at positions 524 to 776 of the family's 1533-position model. The record is from RNAcentral.